Erigeron canadensis is the source of this 455-nucleotide long non-coding RNA. RefSeq lists it as uncharacterized. The transcript has 2 exons. The record is from RefSeq and is a predicted model, not a curated record. NCBI's taxonomy places the organism in Eukaryota, Viridiplantae, Streptophyta, Magnoliopsida, Asterales, Asteraceae.
GGUUAAGCUGUCAAAUUCAUUGUGUUUGUUUCUUUCUUUUAGCUCAUUCACAACUGAAUCUGUCAUGUUGUUAGUGGUAGUCCUUGUAAAGAAAGUUGUUUCUUUAUCAACUAUAGCAACUCGAAAGCGAUAUUCUAUCUUCAUUUCCAGGGCCGGGAUGCAAUACCGAAAAUGACUCGACUAUCACUUAUUGUGGUUUUACGCACCCAAUCUUCGCUAUUUGACUUGUGGGCCGCAAUGGCGCAUCGUGAGCAAACCGCAGUGAGGGUGACCAAACAAGAUGGUAUGAAUAGGUUCAUUGUCUCUUAUCACAUUUUCUUCCAUUUGUUAUUUUUGGUUCUUGACAAGUCUUUGUCACAACAGAGUCACGUACUACUCCCAUUGCAUCAUGUACAACUUGUUAUGCUAUAAUUAAUCUGAUAUCUGUUAGAAGAAAAAAAAAAGGAUUUAGCUUA